This is a long non-coding RNA of Xiphophorus couchianus (Monterrey platyfish), 2444 nucleotides long. RefSeq lists it as uncharacterized. The record is from RefSeq and is a predicted model, not a curated record. The transcript has 2 exons. NCBI's taxonomy places the organism in Eukaryota, Metazoa, Chordata, Actinopteri, Cyprinodontiformes, Poeciliidae.
CCAAGCCCACAUCCUGUCAACUGGCCCAAUUUCAACAGGAAACGCGGCAACCCACGAAGCAGUAAAGCAGGCAGCCGCACAACCUUGCAGCACCUCCGCUUAGCUCUCUGCACAGAAACCUGACUCUAACUUUUCCUUGACCGAUCUCCAAAAAUUCGCUACCCCGGCCGAGAAAACUGCCUGGAAAACUUCCGGAGCUGCGCUCAUCAACAAGAUCAGCUGAAAACUGUCAGACAGUAGGUCCUGCGAGGGAUACCCACCUGCUCCUGACCAUCCAUACCACCAUCAAGGUUGCUGAGAGGGCCACCUGCACAACUUUCCUAUUAUGGAGACAAGACCCAAUGGACCCCAACUGGUCUGCUCUGUCUUGCCCCUAGAUGUCCUCAUCCAUAUUUCUAAACAACACUUACCACCUGUGGAACGAGGUGGCGUCGCCAUCGCAGCUGCCCUCCUGACUCUGGUCCAGACCAUAAGACCCUCAUUCCAAGAACUGAAAAUAAUUUUUAUGUACGUGUAUGGCAUCACUGUCACCGCAGAACUAGGUGACCUGUUCGAUGUCACAGACCGCCUAGUCCACCCAAACUACGAUGACCAAGACAAUGCCGCCUACGCUGCUGCAGUGACUGCACUCCUGAACAAAAUCAAAGAAAUCUUACCCAUUCAACAUCAGUAUUAUAUCGUCAAACAGUGUGUGCAAAAAGCCAACGAGACCCCAUAUGAUUAUUUCCAACGCCUGUUUGAAGUUUUUUAAAUUCACUCCGGACUACAGGAAGAAGCAGGCUGGCGUAACUCACCACGCAGCACUCCAUUUGAAGGUUUUCUGUGCCAUCGCUUCUUAGAUGGGCUAAUAGAACCAAUAAGAGAGGCUGCAAAGCAGUCCUACAUUGGCUGGAAAAGCGAACCCCGCAUUAUUGAGAUGAUAAACCACGCCACCUAUGCAUACGAGGAAUUCAUCGACAAAGAAGAAAAAGCGCAAAAGAAAUAAGAAAAGAUGAUGGAAGACGCUCAGUUAGCCUUUCUCCAAGCAGUCACCAGACUACCAGGUUUACCAGGUUUGGCCCAACCACCAACAACGUGGCUAUCCUGCAGGCCCACCUCAACACCAAGGCCCUUACACAUACAGCUCCCGCGACGCCUGUUACAACUGUGGACAGAGAGGACACUGGGCUCGGUUCUGCUCACAUCAAAGAAAUCAAGGAAGAGGACGAGGAUUCAACCAAACUUCAAUCCAGGAACUCAACAAGCACCUCAGGUAACCUGAGCUACCCACGGUUUCGGCCCACUCUGUAGACCCAACGUCUAACAGGGGCAGCAUGACGCCAAACGUGCUGAAGGUGCCGGCCCUGGGAGGAACCAUUGGGAUGCUGGACCUCCUCAUCCCGGCCAUCAUCAUACUCCAACUCGAGCCUCCAGCACCGCCUAUGACAGUACCCCCACCACGAUUCUACUACAUCAGCAGGUUGAAAUGAACUAUGUUGAAGGCACCACCAUGUCCAUAAGACUCACCACCUGUAGCUACCUUGUAUCAUAAAUGUUUUCAAAAACCCCAGGGUCCAGCAAAUCCUGGUUGAAACUUAUGUCCAGCUCCAGAACCUCUGGGGAGAAGGUGUUAGGUUUGUACCGGAGCGCCCCAAAUGACCACCCCCAUACAUAGAACACCUGUAAAUAAUACCUUUUAUUUUCUAUUUUUAUUAUACCUUCUUUACCUUUGCUUAAACUAUCAGAGGACUGUCCCUCACAAAAGCAGCAGACUUCCAAACACAACCUGUGAUUGAAAUAACGCAAACCACUCCAACUGGGAAGGUUAUUUUAUGAUGCUUUAUUGUGUUGUCUCUCCUGUCAGAACAUGCAUUAUAUUCAAAUAAUUUUUAGCUAUUGUAUUGUUCCUUAUGGAACAAAAGGGAGGAAUUUUGAAAGGAAACUUAUUGUUUAAUCAUAUUUUAUCAUUUAUUGCAUUAACCAUGUUGUUUCAUUAUUAAUUUAGAAAUGAAGUAUCAUGUUUUGUUUCUUUUUAACUUACCAGAAGAGUCAUAAAAUAAAGAAUGUGUAGACAGUUGAACUUUUGUUUCCCUGCACAAACAGUUCUGAGAUUUCUAUGUGUGAAGAUGAUUAAUAGGUGUUGGUUCCGUUGUUAAGACCAAAUAAGUUGUUUGUCUCUGCAGAAGUCUCACAGUCUAUACAAGCAAGACAAGGAAGCUCAUCUCGAGGUAUACGACUGUGGUUACAUUUAUGCAAAAAUAUGCGCAGGAACUAGUUUCACACCUCUGAAUAAUUUCUAGAAAUUCCUUUGUUUCUUUUUGCAAAGCCACAACCCAUGUUUAGUGCAAACAUCUGUAUAUAAGAUGCAUGCUCUGUAACCUUGUUCAGAGAUCACUGACGGAUUUGAUCUGCCUGUGCUGUUCUCUAUCUGCAGUUUCUCAUUAAAUCUGAUUUGUUCUCCACUA